RNAcentral lists this ribosomal RNA (373 nucleotides) under uncultured organism. RNAcentral describes it as "partial 16S ribosomal RNA". It matches the Rfam family "Bacterial small subunit ribosomal RNA", at positions 527 to 896 of the family's 1533-position model. The record is from RNAcentral.
GUAGGUGGCAAGCGUUGUCCGGAAUUAUUGGGCGUAAAGCGCGCGCAGGGCGGUCCUUUAAGUCUGAUGUGAAAGCCCACGGCUCAACCGUGGAGGGUCAUUGGAAACUGGGGGACUUGAGUACAGAAGAGGAAAGCGGAAUUCCAAGUGUAGCGGUGAAAUGCGUAGAGAUUUGGAGGAACACCAGUGGCGAAGGCGGCUUUCUGGUCUGUAACUGACGCUGAGGCGCGAAAGCGUGGGGAGCAAACAGGAUUAGAUACCCUGGUAGUCCACACCGUAAACGAUGAGUGCUAAGUGUUAGGGGGUUUCCGCCCCUUAGUGCUGCAGCUAACGCAUUAAGCACUCCGCCUGGGGAGUACGGCCGCAAAGGCUG